AGAGUUUGAUCCUAGCUCAGGAUGAACGCUGGCGGCAUGGAUAAGGCAUGCAAGUCGAAUGGGUUUAGGCCCAUGGCAAACGGGUUAGUAAUGCGUAGGAAUAUCCCUCAAAGUCGUGAAUAAUUCGGAGAAAUCCGAAAUAAUACACGAUGUGCUCUACGGAGUAAAGAUUUAUCGCUUUGAGAGUAGCCUGCGUCCUAUCAGCUAGUUGGCGGGGUAAUGGCCCACCAAGGCUCUGACGGGUAGGGGGUGUGAGAGCAUGGCCCCCAACAUUGGGACUGAGACACUGCCCAAACUCCUACGGGAGGCUGCAGUCGAGAAUAUUCGUCAAUGCCCGAAAGGGUGAACGAGCGAUGCCGCGUGCAGGAUGAAGGCUUUCGGGUCGUAAACUGCUUUUUUCAGGGAAGAAUUUCGAUGACGGUACCUGGAGAAUAAGAGGUUACUAACUCUGUGCCAGCAGUAGCGGUAAUACAGAGACCUCAAGCGUUAUCCGGAUUUAUUGGGCGUAAAGGGUGGGUAGGUGGUCGUGUUAGUCAGAUGUCAAAUCCUUCGACUCAAUCGAAGAACUGCAUUUGAAACGGCGCGACUCGAGGCGGUGAGAGACCAGUGGAAUUCACGGUGUAGUAGUGAAAUGCGUUGAUAUCGUGAAGAACACCAAAGGCGAAGGCAGCUGGUUGGCACCGAUCUGACACUGAGCCACGAAAGCGUGGGGAGCGAAUGGGAUUAGAUACCCCAGUAGUCCACGCCCUAAACGAUGCACACUAGGUAUAGGGAGAAUCGACCCUCUCUGUGCCGUAGCUAACGCGUUAAGUGUGCCGCCUGGGAAGUACGAGCGCAAGCUUAAAACUCAAAGGAAUAGACGGGGAUCCGCACAAGUGGUGGAGCAUGUGGUUUAAUUCGAUGGUAAGCGAGGCACCUCACCAGGGUUUGAAACAGAGCUGCAUGUCCCAGAAAUGGGAAGGCCUUCGAGGGUGCUCUGCAGGUGCUGCAUGGUUGUCGUCAGCUCGUGUCGUAAGAUGUUCCGUUAAGUCGGGAAACGAGCGCAACCCCUGUCGCGUGUUACAAGUGUCACGCGAGACCGCCCCGUACCGAGUACAGAAAUUUUUCUGGUUUCGGUACGGGGAGGAAGGAGGGGAUGACGUCAAAUCAGCAUGGCCCUUUGACACCCUGGGCGACACACGUGCUACAAUGACCGGUAUAAAGGGUUGCCAAACCGCGAGGUGGAGCUAAUCUCAAAAAACCGGCCUCAGUUCGGAUUGGAGUCUGCAACUCGACUCCAUGAAGCUGGAAUCACUAGUAAUCGUGAAUCAGCCACGUCACGGUGAAUACGUUCUCGGAUCUUGUACUCACCGCCCGUCACACCAAGAGAGCCGGCAAUACCAGAAGGCCCUGUGUCAAAUCGGGGACGACGGUAGGGUUGGUAAUAAGGGUGAAGUCGUAACAAGGCAUCCGUAGCGGAAGCUGUGGAUG
Molecule: ribosomal RNA, 1470 nt
Filed under: Candidatus Moraniibacteriota bacterium
Lineage: Bacteria; Candidatus Moraniibacteriota
Description: bacterial SSU rRNA
Rfam family: Bacterial small subunit ribosomal RNA
Source: RNAcentral